UACAGCACCCCGAGUGGUCGGGACGUUUAUUGGGCCUAAAGCAUCCGUAGCCGGUUCUACAAGUCUUCCGUUAAAUCCACCUGCUUAACAGAUGGGCUGCGGAAGAUACUAUGGAGCUAGGAGGCGGGAGAGGCAAGCGGUACUCGAUGGGUAGGGGUAAAAUCCGUUGAUCCAUUGAAGACCACCAGUGGCGAAGGCGGCUUGCCAGAACGCGCUCGACGGUGAGGGAUGAAAGCUGGGGGAGCAAACCGG
RNAcentral lists this ribosomal RNA (252 nucleotides) under uncultured bacterium. RNAcentral's name for it is "partial 16S ribosomal RNA". It matches the Rfam family "Archaeal small subunit ribosomal RNA", at positions 475 to 727 of the family's 1478-position model. The record is from RNAcentral.